GACGAACGCUGGCGGCGUGCUUAACACAUGCAAGUCGAACGAAAAGAGGGAAAGAGCUUGCUCUUUCCGGAAUUGAGUGGCAAACGGGUGAGUAACACGUAAACAACCUGCCUUCAGGAUGGGGACAACAGACGGAAACGACUGCUAAUACCGAAUAAGUUCCAAGAGCCGCAUGGCCCAUGGAAGAAAAGGUGGCCUCUACCUGUAAGCUAUCGCCUGAAGAGGGGUUUGCGUCUGAUUAGCUGGUUGGAGGGGUAACGGCCCACCAAGGCGACGAUCAGUAGCCGGUCUGAGAGGAUGAACGGCCAAACUGGAAAUGGGACACGGUCCAGACUCCUACGGGAGGCAGCAGGGGGGAAUCUUCCGCCAUGGGCGAAAGCCUGACGGAGCAAAGCCGCGGGAGGGAUGACGGCCCUCGGGUUGGAAAACUCUGUGAUCCGGGACGAAAAGGCAGAGUGCGAAGAACAAACUGCAUUGACGGUACCGGAAAAGCAAGCCACGGCUAACUACGUG
Molecule: ribosomal RNA, 513 nt
Filed under: uncultured bacterium
Lineage: Bacteria
Description: partial 16S ribosomal RNA
Rfam family: Bacterial small subunit ribosomal RNA
Source: RNAcentral